RNAcentral lists this unclassified non-coding RNA (283 nucleotides) under uncultured fungus. RNAcentral's name for it is "sequence contains ITS1, 5.8S rRNA gene". The stretch from base 235 to 283 matches the Rfam family "5.8S ribosomal RNA", at positions 1 to 49 of the family's 154-position model. The record is from RNAcentral. Lineage: Eukaryota; Fungi.
UUUCCGUAGGUGAACCUGCGGAAGGAUCAUUACCGAAUCGUCAAACACGGGUUGUUGCUGGCCUCCAAACGGGGGCACGUGCACGCUCUGUUUACACAUCCACUCACACCUGUGCACCCUCUGUAGUCCUAUGGUUCGGAAGACCCCGUCUUCCUUCUGUAGCUCUACGUCUUUACACACACACUGUAGCGAUGUCUCAUGGAAUGUUUUUAUGCGUUUAACGCGAUACAAUACAACUUUCAGCAACGGAUCUCUUGGCUCUCGCAUCGAUGAAGAACGCAGC